UAGGACAGAAUUGUAGCAAGAUUAUCAGUGACAAGUCAAAUUCUAUGGCUAUGUUUUUGCGAAUCCGGUCAGAUAUGUAAUAUUAUAUAGCUACAAUGAGGAGCAACAAACGCGCCUGAUCUAAGCCAAACAAUGACAUAUACAACAUGCAAAACAGUCACCAGACUUGCGCAUAAACAACUACAUUUGAAUCAUGUGGUGCCAGAACAACUAAAAGGAUGAAAAACCUAUACAUCAAGCUUAAGAAACAUAAGCUCGAUGAGAUAGCUGCAAGAAACAUAAGGGUGUCUCUAGAGAAAAACGUAUAGCUUUCUUGAGGUAAAGCUACAGUGUCUCCGAAGAAAAACGUACAAGGACAAAUAUGAUAACCAUGAUAAGAAUCUACCUACUGUAUUUGCAAACAGUUCUAAUCUCAGCUGGGUGGGCAUCACAAUAUAUAAUGCAAGUUAGCAAAAUGUUCAGUCAGAAAGUUUCGUAUUUUGUCCCUUGAAAGUAAAUACAUGUACUCAGAGACUUAAAACAAAGCUUGCAAUAUAAAUGAGCCUAAACAAUGCAUAAGCACAUGGCAAACUCUAAAGGCAAAGAAUACACAUUUGCGUACAGUGGGAGUUGUGCAGGUCUGUCACAACUUUUUAAUUUCUGUGAUUGAUAUCAGACAGUGCUCCCUCCUGGGCUGAACUUGUAAUCUAACUAGCAGCAUGUAGAAGAUCUACAUAAGUACUGCACCAUAGUGUAAUGGCUCAAUGCUACUUAAAAUUUAUCUGUAUAAUACAGCAGUAAGUGCCCUUCAUAAACAGGAGUGAAGCACAGAAAGGUCACGAGACCGAACAGAGAACGGCAAACAUACAGAUGUCACAAAACGUAGGAGUCGUGUAGGCCUGUCAACCCCAUUUUACCAGCACUCAACUAACGUCAAGGAACAUAAAGCAAAAAAAUAUGCACGCAGAACAUGUGCGUUUAUAUCAAAAUAGCUUCAUAUGUAUGUAUUUACUCUCAGCUGAAAUUAAUAAAUUACCAGGUUUGAAUGCUUUUAAAAUCUUUCCUACUUCUUACCAGAUAAAAAACAUACAAGUAACAGUUUAUUUGCUGAGACUUACAUGGAAAUAAAUCCCAUUUAAGCUUGUGAUGUCAGGGCUGAACAGGACCACAGAAGAGGCUUGAGUUCAAGGUCAACUUUCUCUCUACCAAUGGUGGUGCAGCUGUCAUAAAGGUGCAAAACAGAGAAGCAAAAAAGAGCUAUGUGCUGGGACCCAAGAGGAGAAAGAGACCUUGGAUCCCCUAGUAGAUACAAAACAGAGAAGAAACAAUAAAAGCUGAGCUGAGACUCCAGAGGAAAGGAUGGAUCUCUUAUUAGGCUGCCAUCUCAAAUGGACAUGAUUUGACAUCAACAUGGAGAAAGAAGCAAUGGAAAGCAACGAAUCGAAGAGUCAAAGAGCCUCGUUUAAAUAUUUCUUCAGUGGAUCACGUUUUAAAAGUAAGGUAGAUUUACGAGACAAAGUUUAUCUCGAUCGAGUUACUUGCGAAAGAUUGUUAGGGCGGAGCUGGAAUUAGUGAUUUCACAACGGAACCCAAGAGUCGAAAGAAGACAUUGGAAUUACUGUGAAAUUGUCUCGUAUCUUGCCAGUUUCCGAGGAAGCCGUGAAUUAUAUUUCAAGUUUGUAGCGUUAAACCGAAGGUAGAAUAAUAACAUUACCUGGUUUUGUUUUUCAACCAGAAUUUUCAUCCUGGAAGUCUCGUUAUUAAACUCGUUGAAAUCACCGUC
RNAcentral lists this long non-coding RNA (1762 nucleotides) under Orbicella faveolata. RNAcentral's name for it is "uncharacterized LOC110042144, transcript variant X2". The record is from RNAcentral. Lineage: Eukaryota; Metazoa; Cnidaria; Anthozoa; Scleractinia; Merulinidae.